UGGGCCAUAUCCGCUUAUAAUAUGCACACAGAACGGCUGGCAGACUACGGGGACAGAAAACCCCUUUAAAAGGCAGAAUUUGAUAACAUGGGUACAUAACCAUGAAGUGACUGGAGGCAUGGGGGCACUGUGGCUGUGUCUCAUUUGGAAAGCUGCGUCCUGCGGAGGUCGCAUUUGUCAUCGAGGCUGUCUCGUUUCAGAAAAGCGAGUAGGACACUUCGAAUGCAGCCUUCGAAUGCGACCUUCUUUCACUGGAAUUCGGAGGAUGCAUGAGGUGUAUCCUUCGUGGGCACUCACAACCCACAAUUCUUUGCUUAAACGGAAAUGUCUAAAAAAAAAAAAAAAUGACGCCAAUUUGCCCGUAAAUAUGAUGUUCAAACGCAAGGAAUGUUAAUUCCCAAGUUGAAGUACCUCAGUAGAUGGGUGCAGAGUAUAUAAUAUGUAUUAAUAUAUUAAUAUAUAAUUAAAAUAAAGUAUUAGACUAAAAGUACACCUGUAAAAUCUAUUUUCUUUUCUCUUUACAUCAUAACUCUCGUGCUGUCAUAGCAACCAUGUUACGUUCUGUUUCUGUUUGUCCUACGAAGGCCGUCUCGUUUAAACGAGACUUGUUUAAAGGAGGACACACGGUAUACAGCAGCCUUCAAAUGACGCGUCCUACCUAGGAUGCAGCCUUCCAAACAAGACACAGCCUGUGUGUGACACGAUACCAGUAGUGCACUGAGUACGCCCCUCAGUACCAUUAAGUCGCAUAUGGCUGGGUCGAGGCAUUAUAACAUACAGCCACAACCUCUGUAUCAGCCAGUAGUGAGCCUGCAAGGCAAUUUCAGCAUUGGACUCAUUUCCAUCCUGUUUGGCCUCUCCUGCAUUUGCCAUCAUUGCUUGCAUCUGAUUCAGCAACUGUCAUUCUGCAUUUCUGUUUGCUUGCAUUUUGAACCCUUAGCAAUAGUAAAAGUCUUAGGAGUUUUCCAUUUGGGCUGUGGUCGUACAUUCAAGUUUGUUAUUCCUUGAUUUAAUGUGCUCGUGUGGAUAUUUGCUAUGACGACAAUUAUUUAUUUCACAGUACUUCAUAUAUGGGAGCAUGCAAAGACUCCGCAUGAAAAAGAACCACUUCUACACACUGUGUCAUAUUAAUAAAAAUAAAUGUAUCAGUAUUGGCACUUUAUAUUUAAUCAGUUAAAAUAUAACUUCACAAUGGGGGAUUCUUUCACUAUUGCAUGAAUAUGUGCACUGUGAUUUAGAUUAUGAAGCACACAUUUAAUUAACAAUAUUUAAGUCAUAUAUAUAGUAAUGGUGUGAAAAAUUAUUUAAUGAAAAAAUUACAAGGUGUCAGAUCUUUUUAUUUAUUUUAAAUAUGAUAGAAUUAUUAUAGUACAAAUAUAAGCAGGUUAAGUGGUAUCUUUGUAAUAUAAUAAGGAUCAAUAUAAAGGCCAUGUUUUACAGAAUAUUGAGUAGUUUCUAAACCAAUUGUAAUGUGUGAAAUGCUUUCGCAUUGAAAUGUAUAUUUACGUAUUUAAUAUACUUUUCAUAUGUGCUGAAUGCAUACGGUGUCAAGUAUGUCUUCUGUCAAUGUUCUGGGAGUAACAAAUGCAUUUGGAGAGUUGUAAAAUGUAUUUCGUACUAUACAGGAGGGAAUUUACAAUACAAUGACUGAUUUGAUUGUAAUGUUAGAAAUCACAUAAAAAGAUUUAAUUUAAGACAGUUUUAUCCAUUCAUACAUGUACAGUACAUUCUUUAUUCAGUCAUACUCACAAAAUCAAUAAACUAUGCAAAUUGAUGGCGGAGAAAGUUUUUUUUGGCAGGACAGUGUUUAUUGUUCUCUGCCUAAUGCUUCUACUGUUGACUUGUCAUUCAAAGGUUGUUAUUCAAGACAAGACUUUACCUCAAAUGUAAUCCUUUUAGACAGGAUGAUUAUUGUUAAGCUAUCCAAUCUGUAGUUUUUGAUAUUUCUAAGAAUUUAGUUUCAUGAAUAAACUAAUGAGAGU
This is a long non-coding RNA of Myxocyprinus asiaticus (Chinese sucker), 1982 nucleotides long. RefSeq lists it as uncharacterized. Lineage: Eukaryota; Metazoa; Chordata; Actinopteri; Cypriniformes; Catostomidae. The record is from RefSeq and is a predicted model, not a curated record. The transcript has 3 exons.